GUUCCUCUCCUCUCCUUAUUUUACUUAUCAUCCAAGUUAGUUAUUUGCUUUUCGUUUGAUUUCAAUAUUCUUUUCAUUCGUCACAUAUUAUAUAUUCUUAUAACUUAUGAUUCCAUUCUUUUUCUUAACUUUAUAACUCUGUUAAUCCUAUAAUUCCUUGACUAACUCCGCAACCAAACAAUUAGAAUAUAUUCGGAUCAGAAGAUCAGUUCUCGAUCCAAUGCAUAUAUAUAAUAAGGAUGACCAUGCAUGCAGGAGAACAAAGAAGUGUUCAAAAGGAAAACAUGGAAUAUUUAGAUAAAGCAUGCCAUUCUCUGCCUGCUGACAUCGAUACAAAUGGAGUUGUAAGAUCAAGUAGAGAUUUUCCGCCAGCUCAUUACACAUUUCAAAUCAAGAAUUUCUCGGUGCUGUUUGAGGCAGAGGUUGGGAAAUGUGAAUCGGGCCAGUUUGAACUUGGCGGCUACAAAUGGAAAUUGGUACUCAAAACAAAUGGGAAGAAGAAUAGUAAAAGUCACAUCUCCUUAUAUUUGGCAAUAGAAAAUAAAAACACUCUUUCGCUUGGAUGGGAGGCAAACGUAAACUUCAGAUUCUUUGUGUUUGAUCAAAUACGAAACAUGUACCUGUGUAUUCAAGAUGCAGAUGGGAGAGUAAGACGGUUUCAUAACUUAAAGACUGAAUGGGGAUUCGCUCAAUUACUUUCGCACGACACCCUCAACGAUCCUUCAAAUGGUUAUAUUGUUGACGAUUCUUGCAUUCUUGGGGCUGAAGUUUUUGUCAUCAAAGGUACUGGCAGGGGAGUGUGUUUGUCAAUGAUAAAACAACCUCAAAUCAAUUAUUUCACUUGGAGGGUUGACAGCUUUGACGCGCGGAAAGACUACUAUUAUUUGUCUAAUGUCUUCGUUGUUGAAGGGCGUAAAUGGAAGUUGAAGCUCUAUCCAAGGGGAGCAGACAAAGCAACCUCAGAUUACGGCUUCAGCUUGUCGCUCUAUCUCCAACCGGUCGAUGAUUCAGAAAUAGUUACUCCUAACCGAAAAUUGUACGCAAAAUACAAGCUGCGAAUAAGGGACCAAGUCAAUAGCAAUCACCUUGAAAAAACACUUGAGUAUUGGUUCUCUAGCAGUAACGUUGGCUUUGGUGCCCCGACCUUUACGUUUCUGACAGAUCUCAAGGAUCCAUCAAAUGGCUACUUAGUGGAUGAUGCUUUGUUGGUUGAAUGCAAAAUUGAUGUCAUAUCUGAAGUGAAGGAUUUCUCCGGAUGAUCUAAUUGGAGACAAAUUAAUUAGCUAUAUUACUAUUAAUUAUACAAUAAUUCAGAGUGGUUGCAUGUGGAAGCAGCGAUAGAUUCGACACAAAUUCGGCCGAAACAUUAUUAUUAUGUCUAUAUCAAAAGUAAGAAUUAAA
This is an RNA transcript of Juglans microcarpa x Juglans regia, 1401 nucleotides long. It is a transcript of the gene named probable inactive serine/threonine-protein kinase fnkC, with no coding region annotated. NCBI's taxonomy places the organism in Eukaryota, Viridiplantae, Streptophyta, Magnoliopsida, Fagales, Juglandaceae. The transcript has 7 exons. The record is from RefSeq and is a predicted model, not a curated record.